UGGGGAAUAUUGCACAAUGGGGGAAACCCUGAUGCAGCGACGCCGCGUGAGCGAAGAAGGCUUUCGAGUCGUAAAGCUCUGUCCUAUGAGAAGAUAAUGACGGUAUCAUAGGAGGAAGCCCUGGCUAAAUACGUGCCAGCAGCCGCGGUAAUACGUAUGGGGCGAGCGUUGUCCGGAAUUAUUGGGCGUAAAGGGUACGUAGGCGGGUAAGCAAGUUAGAAGUGAAAUCCUGUAGCUCAACUACAGUAAGCUUUUAAAACUGCUCAUCUUGAGAUAUGGAAGGGAAAGUGGAAUUCCUAGUGUAGCGGUGAAAUGCGCAGAUAUUAGGAGGAAUACCGGUGGCGAAGGCGACUUUCUGGCCAUAAUCUGACGCUGAGGUACGAAAGCGUGGGUAGCAAACAGG
Molecule: ribosomal RNA, 403 nt
Filed under: Verrucomicrobiota bacterium
Lineage: Bacteria; Pseudomonadati; Verrucomicrobiota
Description: Verrucomicrobia bacterium partial 16S ribosomal RNA
Rfam family: Bacterial small subunit ribosomal RNA
Source: RNAcentral